UACGUAGGGUGCGAGCGUUGUCCGGAUUUAUUGGGCGUAAAGAGCUCGUAGGCGGCUUGUCGCGUCGGAUGUGAAAGCCCGGGGCUUAACUCCGGGUCUGCAUUCGAUACGGGCAGGCUAGAGUUCUGUAGGGGAGAUCGGAAUUCCUGGUGUAGCGGUGAAAUGCGCAGAUAUCGUGAGGAACACCGGUGGCGAAGGCAGCGAAUUGGCGCGAUAUUGACGCUCAGGCACGAAAGCAUGGGGAGCAAACAGG
RNAcentral lists this ribosomal RNA (253 nucleotides) under uncultured bacterium. RNAcentral describes it as "partial 16S ribosomal RNA". It matches the Rfam family "Bacterial small subunit ribosomal RNA", at positions 524 to 776 of the family's 1533-position model. The record is from RNAcentral.